CUUAGUUUUGUGAAAACUAGUAAAUUCAUAAAACUGCUAUUCUAAAAGAAGGUGAAAGUUCUAGACAUGGAACAUGAAAAAUGAAAAAAAUGCAGACAUGGAAAAAUGCAGGCAUUCAAGGAGUCAACAGUUGAAAUCUGUGGCUGAUGAAGUACAGGGGGGUAGCUGAGUCUGGAAGAGACAGCCCAGCAAAACAGAUUUAUUCUUUCAGUGACAGACACUCAGAAGAAGCUACUUCAUUUAAUGGUUAGCUGAUGACCAAAAACUCAACAACCUGAACCGUGGUCAAACGCUCACAGCCAUUACCCACUCUGAAAGCUCCUGUCUGCCAUGCCGGUUUCGCCUUUUUUCAUAGGACACCGCUUACUCUGUUGCCUAGUGUUCCCGUCCAAACCUUUCUUGCCGUCCUCUUCCACCAGUCUGUAAUCUUCAUCCUCUCUGCAAUUUUCCCUGAUCACAGUCCAGUGUUCAAUUACGUUUUUCCUUCUCUGAGUUCCUUGACACAGCUUAACUCCUGUGUAAGCAGUGUUUUAUGAAUGA
Molecule: long non-coding RNA, 540 nt
Filed under: Bos taurus (domestic cattle)
Lineage: Eukaryota; Metazoa; Chordata; Mammalia; Artiodactyla; Bovidae
Description: long non-coding RNA NONBTAT023883
Source: RNAcentral